AUAAAAUAACUGUGUUACAACCACCUGCUGGACUUAUUGAGGAAAUUCAAAGAAAACUUGUGACUUUUUUUGGUCUGGGCAACACUGGAUUCGUGCUGCUGCUUUAUACCUUCCUGUUCAAGAGGGGGGUCAAGGAUUGAUAGACAUCAGAUCCAGAAUUAUGGCUUUCCGGUUACAAGCAGCUCAGAGACUGUUGUAUCACACAGAUGUAUCAUGGCUAAAGACAGCUUCUGCUCUUCUCAGGCGGGUCAAAAGUAUGGGAUUGGACAAACAUUUGUUCUUAAUGGAGCUCCAGAAUGAUGAUCGUGCGAAUCUUACAUCUUUCUAUAAGUCAGUUCUGGAAGCAUGGAAAGUGUUUACCAUUUCACGCUCAUCAGAUACACAUGCUGGAUUAUGGCUUUUUGAAGAGCCACUUUUUCUUAAUGAUUUUCUACCUUCAAGACUUAUGUCUGGUCUCAGUCUGCGUGCAUGUUUAACUGCUGCUGGAUGCACAAAGUUGGGACAUAUUUUGAAUACAAGCAUAGAGGAACUGAGUAAAAGGACUGGGGUGAGAUCCUUGCGGCUGCUGAAACAAGCUACUACUGAAAUAUUUAAGUCUUUGCAUGUGGAUUAUAAGACCUUGACAAAUGACUCGGAAGCAAUUGAUCAAUGGAGAAAGGGGAUUCCUUAUGUUUUCCCCUCUCUUAAUGUAACUAUUACUGUGGGAGAAUGGCAAGAUGAUGGGAAGAGUCUUUUGUCUUUUAAAACACCUCAGCUUGGAGUUUUUGAGGAAGUAGGGAAAAAAGCCCUCUAUAUUUCCUGUGUAAAAUCAUCUAAUGCUAAUCUUUUGAGUGGACUUCCUUCAACAAAAUGGACUGAAUUUUUUGGAACUGUUUCUUCCCCUAGAGGCUGCUGGCGGUCCUUAUACAAACGCCCAAUUGAUAAAAGAACAGGCGACCUUCAGUGGAGGAUUGUACAUGGGGCGAUAGCCACAAACAGAUACGUGGUGCACAUUGAUCCUUCUGUAGGGGUGGGUUGUCCCUUCUGUACAGAGGUUGAAACGGUUUUUCAUUUAUUUGUACAGUGUACUCGGU
RNAcentral lists this long non-coding RNA (1073 nucleotides) under Sinocyclocheilus anshuiensis. Its description in RNAcentral is "lncRNA (ENSSANG00000042940.1)". The record is from RNAcentral. Lineage: Eukaryota; Metazoa; Chordata; Actinopteri; Cypriniformes; Cyprinidae.